AGGGCGACCGGAUCCACGCCGCGGGUCACCACCAGGUAGUCGCGGAUCACGACGCUGUGGCGCAUCUC
This 68-nucleotide small RNA is filed under the name Nocardia tenerifensis. RNAcentral describes it as "ASdes TB sRNA". It matches the Rfam family "ASdes TB sRNA". Lineage: Bacteria; Bacillati; Actinomycetota; Actinomycetes; Mycobacteriales; Nocardiaceae. The record is from RNAcentral.